AGAUAUUUGCCCUUUGUUCAUAUCAAAAAGUGCUGAGAGCUGGAACUGUGUCUGAGAGUAAUGUUAACUGAGGUUGUCUGUUUUGGAAGAUCAAUCAUGGUCCUGCUCAUCCUUCUUCUCUCUUCAUCCUGAUUGUCUUCAUCAAGCUGAGCUUAUUUAUGGGUCAGCUUUCUCUGUGGUUUUGGCAAAGUGCUUCAAACAGAUAUUCUAGAGCAGCUCACAGCAGACACUGACCUGUGAAGGGGAUGCAGAAUGAAAGAGCACUAACCACCAAGGGGGCUUUGGAGUGAUCUGAACCAGCAUGCAGCUCUCCAGACACAUCAUUUCAGAGGUGCUAGUAUGGAGCACAGCAGAGGAUUCUCUUGGGUGGCUGACACCAUGGCCAGGGAACGGGAACAGGGACGCUGCAGGUUUCAGGUGUGUGGCUGUGCAUGACAAAGCCUUGUGACAGCCAGCAGUGCCCUGCAGAGAGCAGAAGGCAGAUCAAGGAGGGUGCUGGUAGAGUUCAAAUGUGAAUAGUGUGGUAUGGCAUCCUAAAAGGCAUGUUAAAUUCUGCAGCUGUGAUCAGAGCUACUCAGAAGGAGGAAUCAGCAUCAGCACAGAUCUGCUCUCUGGUUUUGACUAAUCACUCACUUCUAGCAGCUCUUGUGCAAAACUAAAGGGGUCUAGCUUCAGUUUUCUGCCUUUUAAACUGUUUGUGUCCCAGAUUUGGGAAUUCUGAAAUUUACAAGGGACUGAAAAGCACCAAAGCAAUUUUUUUUAGAACUAAUGGAACUAAAAUCUGAGUAACUCCAAUGUCUGAGUCUAGUCUCCUCUGCUUCUACUGAGGGUAUAGGCUCCAAGGAGCUCACAGUCUAGACAAAAGACUCAUGGAAAAGGCCCAAAGUGCUGGAGCAAUGUCUGCUAUACAUGCUGGGUGAGCUACUCCUGCAGAGUUGUCUCUGUAGGUGAUGAGUACUGUAAGGAAAAACAAAACAAGCUCCUCUGACCAGGAUUUUGGCAGUGGAUCAGGUCAGAGGUUGUGCAAUGGACUUGUGGAAGUGGCUUGACCUGAAAGAGUGCAUUGGGCAGGAUACCUGUGCCAGUGAUGCACACAUCCAUGAGCUCUGCCUUCUCUGGCAAGUGGCGCUGCAAAUAGAGCUGGAUGAGCCUGACUCCUAACAGAAUGGAAACCCUCAAGUGCUCAUAGUAGUCAUGACAUUGGCUCAGGGGCUUACAGAAUUAAUAAGUGGCUGCAGUUCAUGUUCCAAGCCAAAUCCUCUCGCUGGUCAUUAAUUUACAACCAGUGCCCACAGCACUGAUUAUAGUUCCCUGGAAGAAAUCUUCAAAUCCAGCCAAAGAUUUUUUAAUGCUUCCCUCUCAGAUGCCCAUUGUAAGGCUGAAAGCUGGAUCUUCUUGUUCACUGCAGGUUCUCAAAAAGGAGAUUGCUCCUGUAAAAUGUGCAUCAGCAGUGUGAGUCUCAGCUUGGGACAAGCAGAAGCAGCAGCUGCUGCUGCCGCUGCCAUGCACGCCCCCUCUCAGCGAAUUACCCGCCGUGCUGGCUCCCCUCUUCUGAAGCUGGUCAGUCUUAACGGUGAGCUGCUUGGGAGGAGAGAGUUUCUGUAGUUCUUCUGGUUUGCUGUCAUGGAAAAUUAUCUUCCCUUCUGCACAUCUGCUGAGCAUAAAGCUGCAAUAUUCAGCAAGAGUGAAGGAUGAAAACAGCUGUAAUUUCUUUUUGAAAUACAGAUCAAAUCACCUGCCAACUCCAAUGAGCUGGCAUUGGACCUGGGUGCUUUCUCCACUGAGCAGGUUAUUGGAGAAGGUAUCUGGCUGGAUGGGCAGCUCCUGUGCUUGACCUCACCCCUCCUCAGUCAGCAGACGCAGGAGCUUUGCCUGGGCUCUGUCAGGGGGCUGCACAGGGGCUGCUCCUGUUUUUGCACAAGUGAUGCUGCAGAUGCUCUGUGUCGGGGUAGCCCAGAGACUGAGAGGGUUUGUCCGGGGCUGGUCAGCCAUGUGCCCAGCAGGCUCAGCACUGCACUCAGCUACAGCACUGUGUGAGGUCCUUGUGCUGCAAGAGAGACAUUUUAUCUCCCUCCAGCUCUGGAAAAGGUGGUGCCUACAGGGCACAGGUGAGGAGAAGUGGGAAGAAGGAUUCUCUCUGCGAUGCCAUCAUUAUACUCAUCCCUCCAAGAUUUGCAAGAUCUGACCACCCCCUCAGCAUUUUACACACAGUUUAUGCCAGCCAUUCUCCUGGCCUCCACCCUGACUGGGGAGGGGGAUGAAGA
This is a long non-coding RNA of Zonotrichia leucophrys gambelii, 2264 nucleotides long. RefSeq lists it as uncharacterized. The record is from RefSeq and is a predicted model, not a curated record. Lineage: Eukaryota; Metazoa; Chordata; Aves; Passeriformes; Passerellidae. The transcript is spliced from 5 exons.